Molecule: ribosomal RNA, 262 nt
Filed under: uncultured Chytridiomycota
Lineage: Eukaryota; Fungi; Chytridiomycota
Description: partial 18S ribosomal RNA
Rfam family: Eukaryotic small subunit ribosomal RNA
Source: RNAcentral
AAGCUCGUAGUUGAAUUUCGGAUCGUACCUUGAGAGCAUCCGAAAGGUUGAUACAAUAUAGGUGCGGUCUUAUGUGUCUGGCCUUGUGGUAUGCUAUUAAUUUGGUGUGCCAUUUUGGUUAGAAGUUUACCUUGAAAAAAUUAGAGUGUUUAAAGCAAGUGAAUAACAGCCUGAAUACAUUAGCAUGGAAUAAUAGAAUAGGACUUUGGCUCUAUUUUGUUGGUUUCUAGGACCGAAGUAAUGAUUAAUAGGGAUAGUUGGG